This is a long non-coding RNA of Hyposmocoma kahamanoa, 220 nucleotides long. RefSeq lists it as uncharacterized. The transcript is spliced from 3 exons. NCBI's taxonomy places the organism in Eukaryota, Metazoa, Arthropoda, Insecta, Lepidoptera, Cosmopterigidae. The record is from RefSeq and is a predicted model, not a curated record.
GCCCCCUAUCCUGGUCGAAGGGGAGUCGUGCAGGUCCAGUUCAGGUCAAGUUUCACCAACUACACACGCGAAGCCAUCCUCAGAGGUCAAAGUAGCUGGCCAUAAGUUGUGGUCGCAUUACCAUCGCGGCUGCUUGGCCUCACCUCACCAAUGGCCUCAUGCCAGCGGUAAAAAAACUGGCAAUGGAAAACAGUUAAAACUUACCACAAAACUACCACAG